CCCAUCUUGCCUCCCAAAGGGCUGGGAUUACAGGCCUGAUCUACUGCAUCCAGCGCGAAAAGUGGUUUCUUGAGAUGGCAUCUACUCCCAGGGAUGAGGCUGUGAACAUUAUUGAAAUUACAAUAUAGGAUUUAGAACAUUACAUAAACUUUUACAAGGAAUUACAUAGAUAGGAAAAAGAGCAAAAAUUAAAAAUACUAAAAUGACACCAACAACAAAAGAAUAUUAUAUAAACUUAGUUGAUAAAGCAGCAGUGGGAUUUGAGAGUACUAACUCCAGUUUUGAAAGAAGUUGUACUAUGAGUAAAAUGCUAUCAAACAGCAUCGCAUGCUACAGAGAAAUUGUUCAUGAAAGGAGGAGUCAAUCAAUGCAGCAAACUUCACCACUGUCUUAUUUUCAGAAAUUGCCAUGGCUACUCCCACCUUUAGCUACGACCACCCCGGUCAGUCAGCAGCCAUCAACAUUGAGGUCUUGAUUCUAGAGUUCAUCACUUCGAAUAAUUGUCUCCCUCACCAGAUUUGGAGCUCCUGUUGAGGAAAAACACUUUGAAUAAAUCAAUAUCUGGAACAAAAGCAAGAAGGACCUCACCAGAUGCUGCCCCUCAAUCUUGGAUUUCCUGGCCUCCAGAACUGUGAGCCAAUAAAUUUCUAUUCAUUCUGAAUUAACCAGUCUGUGGUAUUCUCUUAUAGCAGCACAAAAUGAACUGAGACAGGUGUGCUCACUCAGUGAAAAUGUUUUGAACUGCAUGCUUAUGCUUAUGAAUUGUUAACUUCUCUGCGUGCAUGUUACAUUUCAAUAAAAAAAGUUUACUCAGAAACAUAGAUGUUCCUCCCAUAAUUUCUAGAGAGAUUUUCUCCAAAUACAAAAUGAGGUUCUGAAAUCAGCAAAUUCUUAUUUAGCUCCAUGAGUUCCAAGCCACUCCCCACCACUCCCACCCCAGAUCCCAUGCUGUAUGUCCUCAGUGUUUCCAAUAAAUGUGUAUGUACAGGCAUGCGCAUACCGUGCACACAUACAUAAACACAUGCACACAUUUCUCCUUGCUUUCUCUUCCAAAUGUGAGCUUUGCUAUACAUUGCUGGUGCAUACAGCACUCUGCUUGGCACUUAGUACGUAUUACUUCAUUUAGUCCUGAACACUAUCCUCUAAGGCAGUCAUAAAUUUCUCUAUUUUAUGAAAUCUGAGGUCCAGAAAGAUGAGAUAACUUGCUGCAAAUCACAGAGCUAAUGAGGUCUCAUUGACUUUACAGCCCCUUGCUUUUCCGCCACUAAAACUUCCUUCUUAUUAAGCAAGAAGAUAGCAACUCAAAAGCUAGUAAUGUUAAGACAAAAAUUAUAUAGUUAGUUUAUCUGUCUCCAUUUACAGAUGGGAAAACAGAAGAAAAAGUGACUGGCCCAAGGUUCCAUGCUGGGUGGUCAUAAUUUCAUGUAUUAACUAUUCACUGCAAGAAUUAUGUAGGGAAAAAUAUAUAGGUAAAAACAAAGUCUAAAGAACUAUAAAAGAAUAGAUAGAGCAUAUGCAAUUUUACAA
This 1527-nucleotide long non-coding RNA is filed under the name Homo sapiens (human). Its description in RNAcentral is "HSALNT0368828". Lineage: Eukaryota; Metazoa; Chordata; Mammalia; Primates; Hominidae. The record is from RNAcentral.